GAGGAGAUUAAGAGCAGACCCAACAGAAUAAUUAUUCUCAGGGUAGUUGGGAAAAUGGUCAACUGCCAAAUUAAACAGAUAAUCAGAGAUUGGAAGG
This is a non-coding RNA of Pseudonaja textilis, 97 nucleotides long. The record is from RefSeq and is a predicted model, not a curated record. NCBI's taxonomy places the organism in Eukaryota, Metazoa, Chordata, Lepidosauria, Squamata, Elapidae.